Molecule: ribosomal RNA, 1489 nt
Filed under: Lactiplantibacillus pentosus
Lineage: Bacteria; Bacillati; Bacillota; Bacilli; Lactobacillales; Lactobacillaceae
Description: bacterial SSU rRNA
Rfam family: Bacterial small subunit ribosomal RNA
Source: RNAcentral
GACGAACGCUGGCGGCGUGCCUAAUACAUGCAAGUCGAACGAACUCUGGUAUUGAUUGGUGCUUGCAUCAUGAUUUACAUUUGAGUGAGUGGCGGACUGGUGAGUAACACGUGGGAAACCUGCCCAGAAGCGGGGGAUAACACCUGGAAACAGAUGCUAAUACCGCAUAACAACUUGGACCGCAUGGUCCGAGUUUGAAAGAUGGCUUCGGCUAUCACUUUUGGAUGGUCCCGCGGCGUAUUAGCUAGAUGGUGAGGUAACGGCUCACCAUGGCAAUGAUACGUAGCCGACCUGAGAGGGUAAUCGGCCACAUUGGGACUGAGACACGGCCCAAACUCCUACGGGAGGCAGCAGUAGGGAAUCUUCCACAAUGGACGAAAGUCUGAUGGAGCAACGCCGCGUGAGUGAAGAAGGGUUUCGGCUCGUAAAACUCUGUUGUUAAAGAAGAACAUAUCUGAGAGUAACUGUUCAGGUAUUGACGGUAUUUAACCAGAAAGCCACGGCUAACUACGUGCCAGCAGCCGCGGUAAUACGUAGGUGGCAAGCGUUGUCCGGAUUUAUUGGGCGUAAAGCGAGCGCAGGCGGUUUUUUAAGUCUGAUGUGAAAGCCUUCGGCUCAACCGAAGAAGUGCAUCGGAAACUGGGAAACUUGAGUGCAGAAGAGGACAGUGGAACUCCAUGUGUAGCGGUGAAAUGCGUAGAUAUAUGGAAGAACACCAGUGGCGAAGGCGGCUGUCUGGUCUGUAACUGACGCUGAGGCUCGAAAGUAUGGGUAGCAAACAGGAUUAGAUACCCUGGUAGUCCAUACCGUAAACGAUGAAUGCUAAGUGUUGGAGGGUUUCCGCCCUUCAGUGCUGCAGCUAACGCAUUAAGCAUUCCGCCUGGGGAGUACGGCCGCAAGGCUGAAACUCAAAGGAAUUGACGGGGGCCCGCACAAGCGGUGGAGCAUGUGGUUUAAUUCGAAGCUACGCGAAGAACCUUACCAGGUCUUGACAUACUAUGCAAAUCUAAGAGAUUAGACGUUCCCUUCGGGGACAUGGAUACAGGUGGUGCAUGGUUGUCGUCAGCUCGUGUCGUGAGAUGUUGGGUUAAGUCCCGCAACGAGCGCAACCCUUAUUAUCAGUUGCCAGCAUUAAGUUGGGCACUCUGGUGAGACUGCCGGUGACAAACCGGAGGAAGGUGGGGAUGACGUCAAAUCAUCAUGCCCCUUAUGACCUGGGCUACACACGUGCUACAAUGGAUGGUACAACGAGUUGCGAACUCGCGAGAGUAAGCUAAUCUCUUAAAGCCAUUCUCAGUUCGGAUUGUAGGCUGCAACUCGCCUACAUGAAGUCGGAAUCGCUAGUAAUCGCGGAUCAGCAUGCCGCGGUGAAUACGUUCCCGGGCCUUGUACACACCGCCCGUCACACCAUGAGAGUUUGUAACACCCAAAGUCGGUGGGGUAACCUUUUAGGAACCAGCCGCCUAAGGUGGGACAGAUGAUUAGGGUG